GACGAACGCUGGCGGCGUGCUUAACACAUGCAAGUCGAACGGGCCUUGUCCCCUUUUUUUUUGGGGGUGGGGUUAGUGGCGGACGGGUGAGUAACACGUGAGUAACCUGCCCCUCACUUUUGGAUAACCGCUUGAAAGGGUGGCUAAUACGGGGUGUUCUGGCCUGCUCGCAUGGGUGGGUUUGGAAAGAUUCGACCGGUUUUGGUUGUUUUGGUGGGGGAUGGGCUCGCGGCCUAUCAGCUUGUUGGUGGGGUGAUGGCCUGCCAAGGCUUUGACGGGUAGCCGGCCUGAGAGGGUGGGCGGUCACACUGGGACUGAGACACGGCCCAGACUCCUACGGGAGGCAGCAGUGGGGAAUAUUGCACAAUGGGCGCAAGCCUGAUGCAGCGACGCCGCGUGAGGGAUGGAGGCCUUCGGGUUGUGAACCUCUUUCGCCAGUGAAGAAGGUCCUGCUCUUUGUGGUGGGGUUGACGGUAGCUGGGUUAAUGAAGCGCCGGCUAACUACGUG
This 508-nucleotide ribosomal RNA is filed under the name uncultured bacterium. Its description in RNAcentral is "partial 16S ribosomal RNA". It matches the Rfam family "Bacterial small subunit ribosomal RNA", at positions 28 to 507 of the family's 1533-position model. The record is from RNAcentral.